GAAAGAUCUCCCAUGCUCAUGGAUUGGCAGGAUUAAUUUAGUAAAAAUGGCCAUUUUACCAAAAGCAAUCUACAGAUUCAAUGCAAUCCCCAUCAAAAUACCAAUCCAAUUCUUCAAAGAGUUAGACAGAACAAUUUGCAAAUUUAUCUGGAAUAACAAAAAACCCAGGAUAGCUAAAGCUAUCCUCAACAAUAAAAGGACUUCAGGGGGAAUCACUAUCCCUGAACUCAAGCAGUAUUACAGAGCAAUAGUCAUAAAAACUGCAUGGUAUUGGUACAGAGACAGACAGAUAGACCAAUGGAAUAGAAUUGAAGACCCAGAAAUG
Molecule: long non-coding RNA, 325 nt
Filed under: Rattus norvegicus (Norway rat)
Lineage: Eukaryota; Metazoa; Chordata; Mammalia; Rodentia; Muridae
Description: long non-coding RNA NONRATT002067
Source: RNAcentral